GAUGAACGCUGGCUACAGGCUUAACACAUGCAAGUCGAGGGGAAACGACGGGGAAGCUUGCUUCCUUGGGCGUCGACCGGCGCACGGGUGAGUAACGCGUAUCCAACCUGCCUCUGACUGAGGGAUAACCCGUCGAAAGUCGGCCUAAUACCUCAUGGCAUCGUCUGCGGGCAUCCAACGACGAUUAAAGAUUUCAUCGGUCAGGGAUGGGGAUGCGUCUGAUUAGCUUGUUGGCGGGGUAACGGCCCACCAAGGCGACGAUCAGUAGGGGUUCUGAGAGGAAGGUCCCCCACAUUGGAACUGAGACACGGUCCAAACUCCUACGGGAGGCAGCAGUGAGGAAUAUUGGUCAAUGGGCGAGAGCCUGAACCAGCCAAGUAGCGUGCAGGAUGACGGCCCUAUGGGUUGUAAACUGCUUUUAUGCGGGGAUAAAGUGCAGGACGUGUCCUUCAUUGCAG
RNAcentral lists this ribosomal RNA (458 nucleotides) under Segatella oris. RNAcentral describes it as "bacterial SSU rRNA". It matches the Rfam family "Bacterial small subunit ribosomal RNA", at positions 28 to 474 of the family's 1533-position model. Lineage: Bacteria; Pseudomonadati; Bacteroidota; Bacteroidia; Bacteroidales; Prevotellaceae. The record is from RNAcentral.